CCUACGGGAGGCAGCAGUGGGGAAUUUUCCACAAUGGGCGAAAGCCUGAUGGAGCAACGCCGCGUGUGUGAUGAAGGUCUUCGGAUCGUAAAGCACUUUCGACCGGGACGAAAAACCUCUGGCUAACAUCCAGGGGCCUGACGGUACCGGGAGAAGAAGCACCGGCUAACUCUGUGCCAGCAGCCGCGGUAAUACAGAGGGUGCAAGCGUUGUUCGGAAUUAUUGGGCGUAAAGCGCGUGUAGGCGGCUUGGCAAGUCAGAUGUGAAAGCCCAUGGCUUAACCAUGGAAGUGCGUCUGAAACUGCCGAGCUUGAGUGCCGGAGAGGAUGGCGGAAUUCCGCAAGUAGAGGUGAAAUUCGUAGAUAUGCGGAGGAACACCGGUGGCGAAGGCGGCCAUCUGGACGGCAACUGACGCUGAGACGCGAAAGCGUGGGGAGCAAACAGGAUUAGAUACCCUGGUAGUCCACGCUGUAAACGAUGAGAACUAGGUGUCGUGGGUGUUGACCCCCGCGGUGCCGUAGCUAACGCAUUAAGUUCUCCGCCUGGGAAGUACGGUCGCAAGAUUAAAACUCAAAUGAAUUGACGG
Molecule: ribosomal RNA, 586 nt
Filed under: uncultured bacterium
Lineage: Bacteria
Description: bacterial SSU rRNA
Rfam family: Bacterial small subunit ribosomal RNA
Source: RNAcentral